GACACACACUCCAGUGGGCACCAUAGAAGAGUAGGGAAUCCUUUCAGAAAUGUAUAUGAAGCAAAAAAAGGAGAAUCUUUACUCCACCCAGCCAUCAAAAGGGGAGAAUCUGUCUCAAAAUUUCACAAACCUACUACUCUCCCAAAAAUUGUGCCCACAAGGCUCAAAGACAUUUGCCAGGAAAAGCUGGCAUCAAUGUGUACCAGAAGAAAGAGGACAUAUGAUUGAGAUCCAAGACUUAUUUGGCCAAAACUUAAAUAAGCAGGAAAAGGCUCAAUUGGUCGUAAUAGUGGGGGCUGCUGGGAUUGGGAAGUCAACACUGGCCAGGCAGGUGAGGAACGCUUGGAAGGAAGGCCAGCUCUACAGGGAUCACUUCCAGCAUGUCUUCUUCUUCAGCUGCACAGAGCUGUCCAAAAGCAAGCAGCUGAGUCUGGCUGAGUUCAUAGCACAAGGCCAGGAAGUGCCCACAGCUCCCAUCAGGCAGAUUCUGUCUCACCCUGAGGAGCUGCUUUUCAUCCUGGAUGGCAUAGAUGAGCCAGCAUGGGUCUUGAAGGAUCAGGAUCCUGAGCUAUGUCUGCACUGGAGUCAAAUGCAGCCUGUGCACACACUGUUGGGCAGUUUACUAGGGAAAUCUAUCCUUCCUGGGGCUUCCUUCCUGCUCACAGCUCGGACCACAGCACUAAAGAAAUUCAUUUCUAACUUUAAGCAGCCAUGGCAGGUAGAAGUCCUAGGAUUCACUAUGUUGGAACGGAAAAACUAUUUCUACAAAUAUUUUGAGAAGGAAAUAGAAGCAAUUGCUGCAUUUAGAUUGAUUAAAUCAAACUCAGUGCUCCUGACCCUAUGUGAGGUUCCCUGGGUGUGCUGCUUGGUCUGCAAUUGCCUGAAAAAGCAGAUGGACCAGGGUAGAGUAAUCUCCCUGACCUCACAGACAACCACAGCUCUCUGCCUGAAAUACCUUUCCUUGACAAUCCCAGGUAAGCACAGGAGGACCCAGCUUAGAGCCCUCUGCUCAUUGGCUGCUGAAGGCAUCUGGAAAAGAAGGACCCUAUUCAGUGAAAGCGACCUUUGUAAGCAAGGGUUAGAAGAGGAUGCCAUUGCCACUUUCCUGAAGAUAGGUGUCCUUAAAAAGCAGGCCAGCUCUCUGAGCUACAGCUUUGCCCACUUGUGUCUCCAGGAGUUCUUUGCAGCAAUGUCUUACAUCUUGGAGGAUAGUGAGGGAAGACAUGGUGAUAUGAAAAUCAACAGAACUGUGAGAAUACUGGUAAAAAGGUAUGGAAGACAAAACCUGUUUGAGGCACCCACUGUGCGCUUUCUAUUUGGUCUUUUGAGUAAAGAGGGAUUUAAAGAAAUGCAAAAGGUCUUUUCCUGCAAGCUUUCUGGGAAGUCAAAGUUGAUGAUACGGCACAUCCUACAGAAAUUGCAACCCCAUCAACCAUCUUGUCUGGGUUUGCUCCACUGUCUGUAUGAAAAACAGGAAAUGGAGCUCCUGACACUCAUGAUGCAUGAUCUUCGAGGAACAAUAAUGCAUGGACUAAUAAACAUUGCACACACAGUGUUGCAGAGAAACUUGAAGAACCUGGUGAUACAGACAGACAUGGAUCUCAUGGUGGUCACUUUCUUCAUUCGGUUGUGCAGUCAUGUGAGGAGUCUACAGCUGAACAGAAAAGGGCAGCAGGGAUAUAAGUUAAUGGCCCCUGGGAUGGUUCUGUACAGGUGGACCCCAAUCACUGAUUCCAGUUGGAAGAUUUUCUUCUUCAAUCUAAAAUUCACCACCAACCUGGAGGAGCUGGACCUAAGUGGAAAUCCACUGAGCUACUCUGCAGCAUGCAGUCUUUGUAAGGCCCUGAGACACCCUGGCUGCCAACUAAAGACCUUGUGGCUUGUUGAAUGCGGCCUCACAUCCACAUACUGCUCACUCCUGGCCUCAGUACUCAGUGCCUGCUCCAGCCUGACUGAGCUAAACCUGCGGCUGAACUACCUGGGUAACCGUGGUGUGAAGCUGCUGUGUGAGGGGCUCAGGAAUCCUGCCUGUAACCUCAGCACCCUGUGGCUGGAUGUGGCCUCUCUCAGGGAAGAAGUGAUUACAGAGCUCAGGACCCUGGAGGCAAAGAAUCUGAAGUUGCUCAUCUCCAGAGCAUGUAAGUCCCAUGUGAUUGUCCCUACUAAGAACAUGGAUAAAGAAGAAGUGGGUGAUAGCCUGGACUUACUGAAGCAGCAGAGACAACAGUCAGGAGACAAACACAUGGAACCUCUGGGAACUGACUAUGACUUCUGGGGCUCUACAGGACCUGUAGCUACUGAGGUGGUUGACAGAGAGAGAAACCUGUACCGAGUUCAAUUGCCAAUGGCUGGUUCCUACCACUCUCCCAGUACAGGACUCCACUUUGUGGUGACAAGGGCAGUGACAAUUGAGAUUGAAUUCUGUGCCUGGAGCCAAUACCUGGACAAGACUCCCUUGAAACACAGUCACAUGGUGGCUGGACCUCUGUUUGAUAUCAAGGCUGAGCAAGGAACUGUUUCUGCAGUGUACCUUUCUCGUUUUGUGUCUCUCCAAGAGGGAAUCGUGGACAGCUCCUUAUUCCAUGUUGCCCACUUUCAAGAACAUGGGAUUAUUCCUAGAAACACCAGCAAAGGUGGAACAGCAUUAUGCAGUACUGGAAAACCCAAGCUUCUCCCCAAUGGGAAUUCUACUGAGAAUGAUUCCGGCUGUCGGACACUUCAUCCCCAUCACUUCCAUCACACUGAUCUACUAUCACCUCUAUCUCGAGGAUGUCACCUUUCACCUUUACUUGGUCCCCAAUGACUGCACUAUUCGGAAAGUGACACUGAGGACCCCAAAUGUGGGGCCAUGGCCAUUGAUGAUGAAGAAAUGAAGUUUCAGUUUGUGCGCAUAAACAAGCUACCCCCAGUAGAUGCUCUUUAUCUUGGUUCCCGCUAUAUUGUGUCUGGCUCCAAAAAGGUGGAAAUUAUCCCCAAGGAACUAGAGCUGUGCUACCGAAGCCCUGGGGAAUCCCAGCUCUUCUCUGAGAUCUACGUUGGGCACAUGGGUUCAGAGAUUAAGCUACAAAUCAAAGACAAGAGGCACAUGAAUCUCAUAUGGGAGGCCCUGCUAAAACCAGGAGACCUCAGACCUGCUCUGGCCAGGAUUGCUUCAACCCCCAAAGAUGCUCCUUCCUUGCUACACUUCAUGGACCAGCAUCGGGAGCAGCUGGUGACCCGAGUGACAUCAGUGGACCCUCUCUUGGACAAGCUGCAUCGUCUGGUGCUAAGUGAAGAGUCCUAUGAGGCAGUGUGGGCUGAGACCACAAACCAAGACAAGAUGAGGAAGCUCUUCAGCCUCAGCCAGUCAUGGAAUCAAACCUGCAAAGAUUAAUUCUACCAAGCUCUAAAGGAGACUCAUCCUCACCUGGUCAUGGACCUCCUUGAGAACUCAGGCAGUGUCUCUUUGGGUACCUGA
This is an RNA transcript of Mus musculus (house mouse), 3457 nucleotides long. It is a transcript of the gene named NLR family, pyrin domain containing 1C, pseudogene, with no coding region annotated. The transcript is spliced from 13 exons. NCBI's taxonomy places the organism in Eukaryota, Metazoa, Chordata, Mammalia, Rodentia, Muridae. The record is from RefSeq and is marked validated.